RNAcentral lists this ribosomal RNA (515 nucleotides) under uncultured bacterium. RNAcentral describes it as "partial 16S ribosomal RNA". It matches the Rfam family "Bacterial small subunit ribosomal RNA", at positions 28 to 523 of the family's 1533-position model. The record is from RNAcentral.
GAUGAACGCUGGCGGCUUGCCUAAUACAUGCAAGUCGAGCGAAUGGAUUAAGAGCUUGCUCUUAUGAAGUUAGCGGCGGACGGGUGAGUAACACGUGGGUAACCUGCCCAUAAGACUGGGAUAACUCCGGGAAACCGGGGCUAAUACCGGAUAACAUUUUGAACCGCAUGGUUCGAAAUUGAAAGGCGGCUUCGGCUGUCACUUAUGGAUGGACCCGCGUCGCAUUAGCUAGCUGGUGAGGUAACGGCUCACCAAGGCAACGAUGCGUAGCCGACCUGAGAGGGUGAUCGGCCACACUGGGACUGAGAAACGGCCCAGACUCCUACGGGAGGCAGCAGUAGGGAAUCUUCCGCAAUGGACGAAAGUCUGACGGAGCAACGCCGCGUGAGUGAUGAAGGCUUUCGGGUCGUAAAACUCUGUUGUUAGGGAAGAACAAGUGCUAGUUGAAUAAGCUGACACCUUGACGGUACCUAACCAGAAAGCCACGGCUAACUACGUGCCAGCAGCCGCGGUAA